CCUACGGGAGGCUGCAGUGGGGAAUAUUGGACAAUGGGCGAAAGCCUGAUCCAGCCAUGCCGCGUGUGUGAAGAAGGCCUUCGGGUUGUAAAGCACUUUCAGUGGGGAAGAAAGCCUUGGGGCUAAUACCCUCGAGGAAGGACAUCACCCACAGAAGAAGCACCGGCUAACUCCGUGCCAGCAGCCGCGGGAAUACGGAGGGUGCGAGCGUUAAUCGGAAUUACUGGGCGUAAAGCGCGCGUAGGCGGUCUGAUAAGCCGGUUGUGAAAGCCCCGGGCUCAACCUGGGAACGGCAUCCGGAACUGUCAGGCUAGAGUGCAGGAGAGGAAGGUAGAAUUCCCGGUGUAGCGGUGAAAUGCGUAGAGAUCGGGAGGAAUACCAGUGGCGAAGGCGGCCUUCUGGACUGACACUGACGCUGAGGUGCGAAAGCGUGGGUAGCAAACAGGAUUAGAUACCCGAGUAGUC
RNAcentral lists this ribosomal RNA (465 nucleotides) under Vreelandella stevensii. RNAcentral's name for it is "partial 16S ribosomal RNA". It matches the Rfam family "Bacterial small subunit ribosomal RNA", at positions 338 to 795 of the family's 1533-position model. Lineage: Bacteria; Pseudomonadati; Pseudomonadota; Gammaproteobacteria; Oceanospirillales; Halomonadaceae. The record is from RNAcentral.